RNAcentral lists this ribosomal RNA (405 nucleotides) under uncultured soil bacterium. Its description in RNAcentral is "bacterial SSU rRNA". It matches the Rfam family "Bacterial small subunit ribosomal RNA", at positions 26 to 432 of the family's 1533-position model. The record is from RNAcentral.
AGAUUGAACGCUAGCGGGAUGCUUUACACAUGCAAGUCGAACGGCAGCGCGGACUUCGGUCUGGCGGCGAGUGGCGAACGGGUGAGUAAUAUAUCGGAACGUGCCCAGUAGCGGGGGAUAACUACGCGAAAGCGUGGCUAAUACCGCAUACGCCCUACGGGGGAAAGGGGGGGAUUCUUCGGAACCUCUCACUAUUGGAGCGGCCGAUAUCAGAUUAGCUAGUUGGUGAGGUAAAGGCUCACCAAGGCGACGAUCUGUAGCUGGUUUGAGAGGACGACCAGCCACACUGGGACUGAGACACGGCCCAGACUCCUACGGGAGGCAGCAGUGGGGGAAUUUUGGACAAUGGGGGAAACCCUGAUCCAGCCAUCCCGCGUGUGCGAUGAAGGCCUCGGGUUGUAAGUA